GAUGAAGAACGUAGCGAAAUGCGAUAAGUAAUGUGAAUUGCAGAAUUCAGUGAAUCAUCGAAUCUUUGAACGCAUCUUGUGCUCCUUGGUAUUCUGAGGAGCAUGCCUGUUUGAGUGUCAUUAAAUUCUCAACUACACUGACUUUGAAUUGGUGUGGCUUGGAUUUGGGGGGAAAAUUGUUGUGGGCUUUUUGUAUAGUCUGCUCCCCUGAAAUUGAUUAGCGGUACCUUUGUGGAACUGUCUACAGGUGUGAUAAUUAUCUACAUCUUAGACAUCUGCUGGAAUGCUGCUUUCUAAACCUUACUUGUAUUGACAAUCUUGACCUCAAAUCAGGUAGGACUACCCGCUGAACUUAAGCAUAUCAUAAGCGGAGGA
RNAcentral lists this unclassified non-coding RNA (375 nucleotides) under soil metagenome. RNAcentral describes it as "partial contains 5.8S ribosomal RNA, internal transcribed spacer 2, and large subunit ribosomal RNA". The stretch from base 1 to 120 matches the Rfam family "5.8S ribosomal RNA", at positions 35 to 154 of the family's 154-position model. The record is from RNAcentral.